This 253-nucleotide ribosomal RNA is filed under the name uncultured bacterium. RNAcentral's name for it is "partial 16S ribosomal RNA". It matches the Rfam family "Bacterial small subunit ribosomal RNA", at positions 524 to 776 of the family's 1533-position model. The record is from RNAcentral.
UACGUAGGGGGCAAGCGUUGUCCGGAAUCAUUGGGCGUAAAGCGCGUGUAGGCGGCUCGGUAAGUCCGCUCUGAAAGUCCGGGGCUCAACCCCGGGAGGCGGGUGGAUACUGUCGAGCUGGAGCACUGUAGAGGCAGGUGGAAUUCCGGGUGUAGCGGUGGAAUGCGUAGAGAUCCGGAAGAACACCGGUGGCGAAGGCGGCCUGCUGGGCAGUGGCUGACGCUGAGGCGCGACAGCGUGGGGAGCAAACAGG